CUGCAGAAGAAGCACCGGCUGAACUACGUGCCAGCCGUCGCGGUUAUUACCUAGGGUGCGAGCGUUCUCCCGGAAUUAUUGGGCGUAAAGAGCUUGUGGGCGGCCUGUCGCGUCGGAUGUGAAAGCCCGGGGCUCAACCCCGGGUGUGCAUUCGAUACGGGCAGGCUGGAGUGUUGUAGGGGAGAUCGGAAUUCCCGGUGUAGCGGUGAAAUGCGCAGAUAUCAGGAGGAACACCGGUGGCGAAGGCGGAUCUCUGGGCCAUUACUGACGCUGAGGAGAGAAAGCGUGUGGAGCGAACAGGAUUAGAUACCCUGGUAGUCCACCCCGUAAACGUUGGGAACUAGGGGUUGGCGACUUUCCACGUUGUCGGUGCCGCAGGUAACGCAUUAAGUUCCCCGCCUGGGGAGUACGGCCGCAAGGCUAAAACUCAAAGGAAUUGACGGGGGCCCGCACAAGCAGCGGAGCCUGUUGCCUAAUUUGGCGCUCUACCGAAAAGGUUGCGAUUUUUUACAAACGCAGG
This 520-nucleotide ribosomal RNA is filed under the name Kitasatospora sp. RNAcentral describes it as "bacterial SSU rRNA". It matches the Rfam family "Bacterial small subunit ribosomal RNA", at positions 479 to 993 of the family's 1533-position model. The record is from RNAcentral. Lineage: Bacteria; Bacillati; Actinomycetota; Actinomycetes; Kitasatosporales; Streptomycetaceae.